UACGUAGGGUGCGAGCGUUGUCCGGAAUUAUUGGGCGUAAAGGGCGCGUAGGCGGUUUGUCGCGUCGGCCGUGAAAACCUGGGGCUCAACUCUGGGCGUGCGGUCGAUACGGGCAUCACUUGAGUUCGGCAGGGGAGACUGGAAUUCCUGGUGUAGCGGUGAAAUGCGCAGAUAUCAGGAGGAACACCGGUGGCGAAGGCGGCUUCCUGGUCUGUAACUGACACUGAGGCGCGAAAGCGUGGGGAGCAAACAGG
Molecule: ribosomal RNA, 254 nt
Filed under: uncultured bacterium
Lineage: Bacteria
Description: partial 16S ribosomal RNA
Rfam family: Bacterial small subunit ribosomal RNA
Source: RNAcentral